Molecule: ribosomal RNA, 506 nt
Filed under: uncultured bacterium
Lineage: Bacteria
Description: partial 16S ribosomal RNA
Rfam family: Bacterial small subunit ribosomal RNA
Source: RNAcentral
AGUGAACGCUGGCGGUAGGCCUAACACAUGCAAGUCGAACGGCAUCACAGGAGAGCUUGCUCUCUGGGUGGCGAGUGGCGGCCGGGUGAGGAAUACAUCGGAAUCUACUCUGUCGUGAGGGAUAACGUAGGGAAACUUACGCCAAUACCGCAUACGACCUACGGGUGAAAGCAGGGGAUCUUCGGACCUUGCGCGCCUGCAGGAGCCGGGGUCGGGUUAGUUAGUUGGCGGGGUAAAGGCCCACCAAGGCGACGAUCCGUAGCUGGUCUGAGAGGAUGAUCAGCCACACUGGAACUGAGACACGGUCCAGACUCCUACGGGAGGCAGCAGUGGGGAAUAUUGGACAAUGGGCGCAAGCCUGAUCCAGCCAUACCGCGUGGGUGAAGAAGGCCUUCGGGUUGUAAAGCCCUUUUGUUGGGAAAGAAAUCCAGCUGGCUAAUACCCGGUUGGGAUGACGGUACCCAAAGAAUAAGCACCGGCUAACUUCGUGCCAGCCGCCGCGGUAA